Molecule: ribosomal RNA, 425 nt
Filed under: uncultured bacterium
Lineage: Bacteria
Description: bacterial SSU rRNA
Rfam family: Bacterial small subunit ribosomal RNA
Source: RNAcentral
GUGGGGAAUAUUGGACAAUGGGCGCAAGCCUGAUCCAGCAAUGCCGCGUGGGUGAAGAAGGUCUUCGGAUCGUAAAGCCCUUUCGACAGGGACGAUGAUGACGGUACCUGUAGAAGAAGCCCCGGCUAACUUCGUGCCAGCAGCCGCGGUAAUACGAAGGGGGCUAGCGUUACUCGGAAUUACUGGGCGUAAAGGGCGCGUAGGCGGCUCUGUUAGUCAGGCGUGAAAUUCCUGGGCUUAACCUGGGGACUGCGCUUGAUACUGCAGGGCUUGAGGCCGAGAGAGGGUGGUGGAAGUCCCAGUGUAGAGGUGAAAUUCGUAGAUAUUGGGAAGAACACCGGUGGCGAAGGCGACCACCUGGCUCGGUUCUGACGCUGAGGCGCGACAGCGUGGGGAGCAAACAGGAUUAGAUACCCUGGUAGUCC